GUGAUGUAACGGUUCGUACCUACCAAUAAGAACUGUCCAUCGGGUCCGGGAGGAGUACAACGCACUAAACUUGACCGAGGAAUGGGACUCCGACAGGCAAAAAAAAACCUCUUACUUAUCACUUUCUUUACAAAUCAAAAGGUCUCGGGGUCCCUGGAUAAAAAGGUUCUCGCUUGGAGAGGAGAAAAGAGAAGAGGAGAGCAGGAGAGAGACGGCAGCGAGCGCUGGGAAUGAGUAGGCGUCUCACACUCUUACCAGGCCCAACAGGAUGCACAACCUUACGACUUGAUGUAUUCAAGUGUAAUCAGAGACACGCUCACUAGAGAACCAGGGCCCUGCAGGUGACAAUGAUGAUGAUGAUGAUGAUGGUGGCUCUGUAAGGGAAAUAGAAAAACAUUCAUCUGGAUGUUAUGUGUUGUACUGAAGAAAAGUCAGCGAGAGGAAGAGAUAUUACUUAAAGAGGAAAACUGUACUUGGAAAUUAGGAUGAUUAGGUUACUAUCUAUGUCAAUUGAGUCCCACGGUGGAGGUGUCAUGAUACCCAUAAAACCUAGCGGUCAAACAGGGAAAUAAAUGGUUCCAAUCAUUUUUCCACUAUUUAUUUUCCCAUAAGGAUUUUAAAAAACAACACUUAAAAUAGGUUUACCAUGGUAUGACAUUUUGAUAACCAUGUAAAUCUCUCACGGACAUGGUGACUUUUAUUAAUAUAUUAGUCUCUAUUUACUCUCAGAUUCGAAAAUGCUAAUUAGCAUCAAAGUAGACAUCAUGCAAGACUACAAAUCCCUGCAAGCUCCCACACGUCAACUCUAGCUGACACCUUUGUUAGCAAGCAUUGUCUCCAUAAAGAAAUUGCACAAGACAGUUCACAGAAUUGCCAAUUUAAAGAAAUGUAGACAAUUUAUGAAAUACUACAUUUAGCUAACAUUAGAUAGUUAAUCUAAAGAUUGUUACCUUUGCCUCAAUUCGGCAGUCUCUUCCAGAUCAUCAUGACUUUGUAGUUCUUUAUGAUAGCCACAUUAGUUGCUAUUUAGCAUUUCAUUUUUGGGGGGUAAAUACAAGCAAAUAUAUUGCUAAAAGUCACCUUGUCCUAGAGACACGGUUCUCAAAACGUCUCACCAAGGUAAGCCUACUCCAAACACAGCCCAUAUUAAGUGUCCCCUAUAGGAAAAAUGAAUGGUGGAAAAACGAUUGGAAACAUUUCCUUGUUUGACCACUAGGUUUUAUGGCUAUUAUGUCUCGUACUGUGGUACUCUAUAGGCGGUGUUUACACAGUCAGCCCAAUUCUGAUCUUUUGCCAAUUGGGAUUUUGGACCUAUCAGAUCUUUUGCCAAUAUUUGGGAAACCGAUCAGAAUUGGUCUUUCUGUGUUAACACAGCCUAUACCUCUGUAUUUAAAGGAUUAAUCUGCACAAUGACUAGUCAAAUUGAUCAUCCACGUUAUGAAUAAAUGGCACAAGGACAGUGAGA
This is a long non-coding RNA of Oncorhynchus tshawytscha (Chinook salmon), 1465 nucleotides long. RefSeq lists it as uncharacterized. NCBI's taxonomy places the organism in Eukaryota, Metazoa, Chordata, Actinopteri, Salmoniformes, Salmonidae. The transcript is spliced from 2 exons. The record is from RefSeq and is a predicted model, not a curated record.